UGAGAGUAGUCCUGCCUUCCGGGUGCACAC
RNAcentral lists this non-coding RNA (30 nucleotides) under Mus musculus (house mouse). Lineage: Eukaryota; Metazoa; Chordata; Mammalia; Rodentia; Muridae. The record is from RNAcentral.